GGGGAAUAUUGCACAAUGGGCGCAAGCCUGAUGCAGCAACGCCGCGUGGGGGACGAAGGCCUUCGGGUUGUAAACCUCUUUUAGUAGGGAAGAAGCGAAAGUGACGGUACCUGCAGAAAAAGCACCGGCUAACUACGUGCCAGCAGCCGCGGUAAUACGUAGGGUGCAAGCGUUGUCCGGAAUUAUUGGGCGUAAAGAGCUCGUAGGCGGUUUGUCGCGUCUGCUGUGAAAACCCGAGGCUCAACCUCGGGCCUGCAGUGGGUACGGGCAGACUAGAGUGCGGUAGGGGAGAUUGGAAUUCCUGGUGUAGCGGUGGAAUGCGCAGAUAUCAGGAGGAACACCGAUGGCGAAGGCAGAUCUCUGGGCCGUAACUGACGCUGAGGAGCGAAAGCGUGGGGAGCGAACAGGAUUAGAUACCCUGGUAGUCCACGCCGUAAACGUUGGGAACUAGAUGUGGGGGCCAUUCCACGGCUUCCGUGUCGCAGCUAACGCAUUAAGUUCCCCGCCUGGGGAGUACGGCCGCAAGGCUA
RNAcentral lists this ribosomal RNA (530 nucleotides) under uncultured Cryobacterium sp. Its description in RNAcentral is "bacterial SSU rRNA". It matches the Rfam family "Bacterial small subunit ribosomal RNA", at positions 356 to 896 of the family's 1533-position model. Lineage: Bacteria; Bacillati; Actinomycetota; Actinomycetes; Micrococcales; Microbacteriaceae. The record is from RNAcentral.